Molecule: long non-coding RNA, 3616 nt
Organism: Glycine soja
Lineage: Eukaryota; Viridiplantae; Streptophyta; Magnoliopsida; Fabales; Fabaceae
Exons: 2
Source: RefSeq, a predicted model, not a curated record
UUUACAUUUAUCCCUUUUUUCUUAUCUUUCCUUCUCCUUUUCCGUUGUGCCCUAUCCCCUGUAGCAGGUGUUCUUACUCACCCUCUUAGCCUUUCAAAGCAAAGAAACCCAACAUCAAAGCCACCUUCGGGUCCCUUUCUUAUGCUAACAUCUACACCAUCAAAUUCGGCAAUACCUUACUGAUAUCCACCAAUGCCUUCCAGAACCUCGCCACCUACCUGAUAGGGAAAUAAGGGGUAAGGGGUUGGUUUUGAGGACCAGUGCCUCCAGAAGAGAAGAAGAAGGAAGAGAAUAUCAGAAUUGGUUAUGCUUGUCCCCCCUAUACGAUCAGCAUCAUUCAAGCAAGAUCUUCUGCACCAGCUCAUACGUAAUCCUUAAGGUAAGUAGGCCUUGCAAUUCUUCUUUUGGUUUUGCCUGCUAAUUGCACCCCUGUUUCUGUAACUUGUUCUUUGACUGCACUAUCACUACCCCUAUGUCGAAGUCCCCAACCUUACUCUCAUUGUUGUCGCCACCAACCUCUUUAUUGACCAGGAAACCAUAUUCCAUAUCUUUUGCAAAUGUCCUAACAACAACACCACUAAUUACAUUAUCGGGUAAAAAAAAAAUAACCCACUUGAACAAGAACCUAAAUGUGCAGAAAUCCAACCACAAUAGCUUAACCCUAAACGUGAACUACGAGAUUUGGUUGGUUUUGCAAUGAUUAGCUUGAUCCCGAACCUGAACAGCGAGAUCUAGUUCAUUUAGCGGUGAUUAACUCGAUCUCGAACCUGAACAAUACUCUUAGGUCUAUUUGGUUUGUGGCUACUGUUCUCGGAGGUGGUAAUUGCAUUAUUGUUUGCGGUGGAGGGUAUAUUGUUGUUAUUCAUAGAGGUGGUAAUUGCAUUAUUGUUGUAGGGUUUUUGGGGUGAUUGUUUUGGAGGUUAAUGAGUCUGUGCUGGUUUUCGGUUUUCGGCGAGAGAGGUAUGUAUGUGAAGGAUUUUUUUUUUUAUCAACCAACAAAGAGAUAUAUAUAUAAGGCACAAGAAGUGCAUAAAUAGCUGACAAGCCAAUAAAUAGCUGCUAGAUACAAGAUCAUGGUAAGAAUCUUAUCAUGCAUAGCCUGAAAGUGCAUAAAAUAAGAUUCUAACCUAUACAAGUACGAUAUAUAUAGGGGUUGAACCCCACACAUCACACAAACACCUAUAAAUCAACAUUUUUAAAUUCGAGAGUUUAUGGUAAACUUGUGACAAUUUCAUAAAUUUGGCUUGUAAGUGCAUAAUAGUAUGUUUUAUAUAAAAAAUAAUAAUAAAAUAUCUAUAAAUAACAUACCAAUUAAACAUUUUAACAAUAUAAUAAAGUAAAAUAGUAAAUCAUAAAUUUCACAAUACUUAAAUAACUAAGUCUCGUAAUGCAUCACUACUAGAUAAUAACUUCUAGAUGUUAUAAUAAUGAUAGAAUAUUCCCAUCGAGGGUUUGAUAUUAUCAGAGGAUAAGGGUUUGAGGUUGGUAGAGAUAAAAAAAAAUUAUUCCGGAAUAACAUACUGAAUGGAUUGGAGGCAUGUUGAAGAAUAAAUAAAUAGAAAACAACCUAAAAUAACUUACGUUUUGGUCUAAUUUUUUUACUUGUUGACUAAGUGGUAAAAUUGAGAGUCUAUAGAAUUUACUUAGAGUUUAUCGAGUUUAUCUAGAGUUUACUAAAACAAGAGUUUACAUACGAGUCAACUCACAAAAAAUAAGUGGAUUUGUAAAUUCGUAAGAGAUAACGAGUUAAUUCGAGAGUGUGAUAAUCAUGCCUAUGAUAGUAAAGACAAACUGAAUUGGGUUACUACUAAGAAAGAAACUACAGAUAUAGGAUAACCUUCGACCUGCAUGCUCCUGUGUUACACAUCUACUGUGAGAAAAAAUAGUUAAAGGUCUUUACUUUUCCUUUCAACCAUGUCCAUGCAUAAAACAAACUAUCCUCCAUGAGUUUAACUUCAUCGAACCCAGUUUCAUCAAAUACACACGCAUUACGAUGAAGCCAUAUGCUCCAAAAAAUGGUGCACCACGCAAUCUGUCAUCUCUGAUUUGUUACUUUAGAUCCGUGUAGAAUGUUAGCUAAAAUGAUCAUCCACAAACCAUGGGCAUGCCGAGAUAAUUCCUACCAUCUGAUACCACUGUCACCAAACAUAAGAUACUCGAGGACACACAAAGAGGAUAUGAUUAAUGGAUUCAUCCACCUGGAAACAAAAAGCACAUCCGAAAUCAUCGUUUAACACAUGGAUACCCCUUUUACAAAGGUUAUCCCUAGGGCAACCUUCAAAGCUGCCCUCCAAACAAAAAGCUUGACUUUUGGAGGCACAUCGAACUUCCACAAAAGUGUAAAACAAGCAAAAACUUGGGGAAAAUUCUGCAUUUCCUAUAGAGCAUGAUAAUUCACAUAAUAGUAUCCCAUUUGUUCCCCUGCCCAAAACCAUUUAUCUGCUUGUGUCGGCCUUAACGUCAUAUUAUGGGUUAAAUUUAAUUACUAAUGCAUCCAUUCCCUCUUCCACAAGGGUUGUAAUUGGUGGUGGUGGUGGCAACCCAUGUAACGAAUAGUUGAUGAUGUCAUCAUGUGCGUUGGUUGUAGCUUGGCAUGAUGAUGGUGCAUGUGUUAGGUGUUGGUGGGAGGAGUUGGGGUAAUAUGGUGAAUGUGGAUUGAAGAAGAUGAAUAAGACUAAAAUAAAGAUAAUGACAAUUUUUAGUGGCAUUAUUUUAAAUUGACUAUUUCAUAAUUUAAAAGUUUUAAAUAGUAUUUGUGCCAAUGUGUUAACCACAUCAAGUACAUACUCAUGCGGGAUAUUAUGUGAAAACUUUUAUAUCAAUAUUGAUCGGAAUAUCACCAUGAUUAGAUAAAUCUUAGUAUUUUAUUGUGUUUAUAUUUUAUGUUUAUUUUUAAAAUGACUUCUAUUAUUAUUAUUAUUAGGAAAAAAUAUUUUUUGUCUUUAAACUUUUUAGAAUUUAUGUUUUUAGUUCAUAUAUUUUUUAUUUUUGUCCUUAAACUUUCUUUUCAUUCUUAUUAUUAGUCUUGAUUUUUUUUCUUUUCUUAUAAUCCUUUUAAGGGACUCUAAUCACCCAAAAAAGUUAAAAAAAACUAUAAAAGUAAGGAUUAUAAAAAAAUUAAAGGAUUAAAAUAGAUAAAAGAAAGUUAGAGAAUUGAAAACAAAAAUUAUAAAAAUUUUAAAGACAAAAAAAUAAUAAACUCUUGUUAUUAUAUGUUAACUUUAGAUAAAUUUAAUAUGUUAUAUUAUAGUUGUGUCAUGUCUUAUAAUUUUUAAUUUUUGACACAUUCUUGUAUUUGUGCUUUCUGUGGCCCUAUUGGUUCUUGGCGAGGUUGAAGGCCCAUGGUAGUUACUCAACUGCCUUUCCUGCCAUUUACUUAUACAAAACAUUUUAUGUCUUUAAUUAUAUAUCUUAACUUUGUUAUUAUUCGCCUUCUACACUUUCUGUCUUUGGCAUUAAAGUGUUUGUACAAAUGAAUGCAAGUCUUGUCGUCUGCAUCGGAGCCGCCUGCUUCACCCAUCGCGUUUGGAGUCAUUUGAACACAUUUAAUUUAAAAUUAAAAUGUACUUAAACAAAAACUAAGUCCAAAGGGUCCAAAGUGCCUUAUAUUUUGUUC